UACGCAGGGUGCAAGCGUUGUCCGGAAUUAUUGGGCGUAAAGAGCUCGUAGGCGGUCUGUCACGUCGGCUGUGAAAACCCGGGGCUCAACCCCGGGCCUGCAGUCGAUACGGGCAGACUAGAGUGCGGUAGGGGAGACUGGAAUUCCUGGUGUAGCGGUGAAAUGCGCAGAUAUCAGGAGGAACACCGGUGGCGAAGGCGGGUCUCUGGGCCGUAACUGACGCUGAGGAGCGAAAGCGUGGGGAGCGAACAGG
Molecule: ribosomal RNA, 253 nt
Filed under: uncultured bacterium
Lineage: Bacteria
Description: partial 16S ribosomal RNA
Rfam family: Bacterial small subunit ribosomal RNA
Source: RNAcentral